AUUGAACGCUGGCGGCAGGCUUAACACAUGCAAGUCGAGCGGGGGGAGGUAGCUUGCUACCGGACCUAGCGGCGGACGGGUGAGUAAUGCUUAGGAAUCUGCCUAUUAGUGGGGGACAACAUCUCGACAGGGAUGCUAAUACCGCAUACGUCCUACGGGAGACAGUAGGGGAUCGUCGGCCCUUGCUCUAAUAGAUGAGCCUAAGUCGGAUUGGCUAGUUGGUGGUGUAAAGGCCUACCAAGGCGACGUUCUGUAGCGGGUCUGAGAGGAUGAUCCGCGAAACUGGGAGUGGGACACGGCCCAGACUCCUACGGGAGGCAGCAGUGGGGAAUAUUGGACAAUGGGGGGAACCCUGAUCCAGCCAUGCCGCGUGUGUGAAGAAGGCCUUAUGGUUGUAAAGCACUUUAAGCGAGGAGGAGGCUACUUUAGUUAAUACCUAGAGAUAGUGGACGUUACUCGCAGAAUAAGCACCGGCUAACUCUGUGCCAGCCGCCGCGGUAA
RNAcentral lists this ribosomal RNA (501 nucleotides) under uncultured bacterium. RNAcentral describes it as "partial 16S ribosomal RNA". It matches the Rfam family "Bacterial small subunit ribosomal RNA", at positions 30 to 523 of the family's 1533-position model. The record is from RNAcentral.